UGGGGAAUUUUGGACAAUGGGCGAAAGCCUGAUCCAGCAAUGCCGCGUGUGUGAAGAAGGCCUUCGGGUUGUAAAGCACUUUUGUCCGGAAAGAAAUCCUUGGCUCUAAUACAGUCGGGGGAUGACGGUACCGGAAGAAUAAGCACCGGCUAACUACGUGCCAGCAGCCGCGGUAAUACGUAGGGUGCAAGCGUUAAUCGGAAUUACUGGGCGUAAGCGUGCGCAGGCGGUUUGCUAAGACCGAUGUGAAAUCCCCGGGCUCAACCUGGGAACUGCAUUGGUGACUGGCAGGCUAGAGUAUGGCAGAGGGGGGUAGAAUUCCACGUGUAGCAGUGAAAUGCGUAGAGAUGUGGAGGAAUACCGAUGGCGAAGGCAGCCCCCUGGGCCAAGUACUGACGCUCAUGCACGAAAGCGUGGGGAGCAAACAGGAUUAGAUACCCUGGUAGUCCACGCCCUAAACGAUGUCAACUAGUUGUUGGGGAUUCAUUUCCUUAGUAACGUAGCUAACGCGUGAAGUUGACCGCCUGGGGGAGUACGGUCGCAAGAUUAAAACUC
Molecule: ribosomal RNA, 555 nt
Filed under: uncultured bacterium
Lineage: Bacteria
Description: partial 16S ribosomal RNA
Rfam family: Bacterial small subunit ribosomal RNA
Source: RNAcentral